Molecule: ribosomal RNA, 253 nt
Filed under: uncultured bacterium
Lineage: Bacteria
Description: partial 16S ribosomal RNA
Rfam family: Bacterial small subunit ribosomal RNA
Source: RNAcentral
UACGGGGGGGGUAAGCGUUGUUCGGAAUUACUGGGCGUAAAGGGCUCGUAGGCGGCCAACUAAGUCGGACGUGAAAUCCCUCAGCUUAACUGGGGAACUGCGUCCGAUACUGGAUGGCUUGGAUUUGGGAGAGGGAUGCGGAAUUCCAGGUGUAGCGGUGAAAUGCGUAGAUAUCUGGAGGAACACCGGUGGCGAAGGCGGCAUCCUGGACCAAUAUUGACGCUGAGGAGCGAAAGCCAGGGGAGCAAGCGGG